GCAAACUUGGUCAUUUAGAGGAAGUAAAAGUCGUAACAAGGUUUCCGUAGGUGAACCUGCGGAAGGAUCAUUACUGUUAUGUUUUAGUUUGUUGCCUGCGCUUAAUUGCGCGGCGACUUACAAACAAUCUUACACACUGUGUUUUUGUUUUUAUGAAACUUGCUUUGGUUUGGCGCAAGCUGGGCCAAAGACACACACAAACUUCAAUUUUUAAUUGAACUGUUUUUUAAUUUUAUUGUCAAUUUUGUUUGAUUAAAUUCAAAAUAAUCUUCAAAACUUUCAACAACGGAUCUCUUGGUUCUCGCAUCGAUGAAGAACGCAGC
Molecule: unclassified non-coding RNA, 323 nt
Filed under: uncultured fungus
Lineage: Eukaryota; Fungi
Description: partial contains small subunit ribosomal RNA, internal transcribed spacer 1, and 5.8S ribosomal RNA
Rfam family: Eukaryotic small subunit ribosomal RNA (bases 1-73)
Source: RNAcentral